Lemur catta (Ring-tailed lemur) is the source of this 3762-nucleotide RNA transcript. RefSeq lists it as uncharacterized. The record is from RefSeq and is a predicted model, not a curated record. The transcript has a single exon. NCBI's taxonomy places the organism in Eukaryota, Metazoa, Chordata, Mammalia, Primates, Lemuridae.
AUGUUCUCUUCAGACAGGUUUUUGUUAAGUGUCUUUUUUUUCUUGGACCAAUCAGAUUCCUUCUCCCACUUUCAGUGCCUUGAGCGUCAAGCUUUGGAUGACCCACCCAUGUGGGCGGUUGUGCAGCGAGCGGGUACUGUGAGCCUCAAACAUGCUGUCAGAUGUUACAGUGUUGGGAGAGGCAGGGCCGGGAGACGCCCUGGCAGAGAGCUUGUGCUGAUCGGGAGAAGGCGGCGCGGAAGGGCACCGCAGGCACGCCACGGCCCAUUGCUCCUCCAUGCCCACGUGCGCGCACACCCACCCACAUUCCACACGACCGCGUCUCAGCCGCCACCUUCUGACCAAAGAGAACCUCUGCCCCUGCCCCGGCCCCGCCUUCCCAAGAAGCAGCGUCUGGGGUUGGCUCUUCUCUGCCUUCCCCGCGGCUCGUCCAGGGGGAGGCGGGGCCUCGGGUGCAAUUCCCAGAAUGUUCCUUGCCCUUUCUCGGUGGUCACCAUUCAUUACUCAUGUUAACUUUAAUGAGUUACAUGCUCAUCAGCCACGGGCCAUCACCACCCUUACUGAUGGGUCUGAGAGGUGACAUUCCCAGCCAUCCCUUUGCUGGUAACCAGAUAAUACCCAGGAAGCGAGUAGCUCCAGUUCUGACCUCACAGGCAGCCUCUGUGUCCUUCAUUUCAGCAGAGAGUCCUGCGGAGUGGGUCCGACUGGCACCUGUGGGCUCCCAGCUAUAUUCCACCCCUGGAAGCUGAUACCUUUCUGCAGAGUCUUUUUGUGAGGAAUCAGUGGGAAGGUCUGUCAAGAAUGCAGGUUCCUGUGCAGAAAAUGGAUAUAAAUUUUGAUUGUUUUCAUAGAACUAGAGCCAUGGGUAAGCCAAACACUUAAAGCCUAUAGAUGGUGGCUUUUUAAACAUGAAUAUUCAAAAAAAAAAAUUUUUUUUUGAGUUUGGCCGGAUUCUAUUUCCCCCUUUUUGUUUAAGUAUUAGGUCCAUUCUGUUGAAAUGAUGGCAAGGAGGGGCCCAAGGUGACUAGGUAACUCAGCUGAAGGUGCAGAGAGAAUUGCAGAGAAAGGAAGCCCAGUUGUCAGAAGCCUGGUACAGGACUACUUCACUGUUCUCUGCUCCUAACACAUGAACUGGGGGGUCCUGGGUAUUUGGUAUUAAACAAGCACAGUGCAAGGCACAAGGAAGCAUCAGCAACCAAGGUAGUCUCUGCCCUCUGCAGCUCACACACUGGUGUGAUCAGAAUCUGAAUUGGGACCUGCCUGGUAGGCUCCAUGGAACAGCUUUUCUGGGGAGUGGGCUUGAUGACAGAGCUUUACUGUCUAAUGCUGGCAUCUUCUAGCCUGGUGGUGCUCUGUACUUGGUAAUCCUGAUCACCUUUGGCAUUCUUGUUUCCAUGGAAAGAGCAAGGGACUAGGGGUCAGGAGACCUGAGAGCCAGUUCUGAAGCUGCUGUUAACUGAGUAACCUUGGCCUAAUCUCUUUACAUUCCUCACCUCCAAUUUUCUGGCCUGUAAAAUGAGGGGGAAAGGUUGCACCAACCUAGAACUGCUCUCAUUUGCUGUACCUGCUUGGUGGGGGCUGGGGGAGAGAGCUCACCCCUAGCAAGGACUUGGGAACAGUGGUUAGCAUGUUGGGGGAUAGGGGAUUCUCCUAUUCAAAGAAGCUUUUGCCAUGGGCUUCAUUAUCUUGUCAGAAGUGUGAAUUAGUUCCCAACAGGGACCCCUUCAUCCCAAAUAGCAACAAAAAGCACACUCUAAACCAGAGCAAAAUCAAUGUGGUGGGUUAGCCUUUAGCCUUUGGGUCAUGCGUGGUGCUCCCCACAUAAUUCCGACAGUUUGCAAAAGUGUCUCUUGCCAGGGCAGGGCAUGGUGCGUUUCCUUUACUGUGUGCCCAGGUUUCAGGCCACUACUCUCUGGGAAAAUGGGAGCAGGCACCCUCCACCCCAGUCCUCAGGAACAUCCCCCUGGCCCAGGGACUGCCUGUUCCCCUUACCAAGGAGUGAGCACAGCUGACCCUGUUGGGUAGCAGCCAUUUGCAAGGGGAACUGGUGGCGUGAAGAGGAGUAAAGCAGUUUUGACAAAUUCUGGUCUUGAAGAGGUUCUUGCAAUUCUGGGUGAGCCAUGGUCUCCUUCCUUAUGGAGGGCCCAGCCUGCAUCCAAAAUCCUGGAUCCCUCAAAGUCCAGCCUCAGAGUUUGCAUGAAGCAAAAACCAUAAGUUAGAAAGGAGAAAGGUCAGGGUUGGGAGCAGUGCUCUGUGCUCACAAAUGUCUUGCUUGGAAUGAAGGGGCUAGUUUGACUGUCCUGUCUCUGGGCAGUAUGUUCCCUCCUUAUCCCAGCAGUUGCCUCUCCCCUCAUGGUGUUGACGGGAGCCUUUUCUGCUUACAGCAUGGAGCAUAUUGCACCAGGCCCUCUUGCCUCCUGCCCUCUUAUUAACCUGUGGAUGCUCUGUCAGGAGCCAUGAGUCCUGGGCUCCUUAAGAUGGAAUUGGAGGGCCUGUCAGUAUAUUUGACCCAUGUACAUAGCAAUAUUGGCCAUUGGGGUUUGAAGAAAACCACAUGAAAGCCAAGACCCCAUUUGGAGUGAACUGGCUCAGUAACUGCCUUGCUCUUUUCUGUGUGGACAGUCGUGUCCACAGGGCUGAACUCCAGGCCCUCCCAAGCCUUCCCUGCCACGUUAGUGCUGUCUAACCUGAGCCUGGUCGCCACUCUGCCUCCAGGCCAUUCUGCAUGUUGAGAAUCACCUGGAGGGAUCAGUGAAGCUGCUGAUCCUGGUGCAACCUGUGAGAAGGCUGUGAUGGACGCUGAAGUGCACAGACCAGGGGAUGUGAUUGGAAAGGCAUUUAUUUUUGUGAAGAGGCUAUCAAAUUAGCAUUUAAAUAUCCCCUUCCUUUCUCCUGGCCUCCCCCUCCCCACAGGGUUUCUCUGUCCCCAAGGUCAGAUUUUCUGAAUGGCAUCAGCUCACCUUUGUCUGCUGGGUCCUGACACUGCACCUCUGGGCUGGUGGAGGGGCCUGAGAACUGGGGGGCAGGAUCCCAUUUUCUUGCAUCACUGUGAGGGAGCUCCAGGCCCUGUCCCUGGAGAAAUAAUUGCUGUGCAGAAGUCACAGGCCAUACUGGGCAGUUUUGGUAUAAGCCUGCCCUUAAAAAUAAUAAUAAUAAUGGUAGCUCCAUUUGCAUAGAAUUAUCACUCAUUCCUACCAGUCCACUGUCCUGCUGUCCCCGUCCUUGGCUUUUUGCUGGCCCCAAAUCACGGACGGCCCUUUGAGUGUUGGUAGGCCCUGGGCUCUUCAGACGCUGCUGCUUGGGAAUAUUCCUAACUCUGGGGAGACAGCAGCCAAAUUGCCAAUACAAUCAAACUCUUGACACAAUCUUGUUAGCAGUAGUGACCCAGAAGAUUUUGCUGCCUACAGUUUCACCAGAAAGAGGCCCAGGGCUCCCUGUGGUCACAUUUUCUACCCAAGCUAUUCCUGGGAUUGCGACUGCCAUUUCUGGCUCCAGUUGAAUUUUCUCCACCCAAACCCCAAUAAUAAAUGGAUCCAUGAUGAUAAUUAAGAGAAGAGGAAAAAAAAUAUUAUUUUUGUUAGGACAAACCAUUGUAGAUUUUUAGCAAUGUGUAUCUGUGUGUCCCUCACACCUUUUUCCUAUUCUGCCUUUUUUUUUUUCCUUUUUUUAAAAUAUUAUGUACUAUAUUUUUAGUCUCAAACACACUAUAUAUUAUAUAUAUUUAAUUUUUUUAUAUAUAUAAAUAUAAAUGUUUUAAAAAGU